AGUGGCCAUUUCUUGGAAGGAAGCAUCUGCCUGAUGCCAUUUGCUAUGGUAUCCUUGAUGAACAAUCACCACAACUUGCCUUCGAUGGUUUGAAUCUUCUCUGGCUGAAAAGACCGACAUUUGCUCCAUCUACGACUGCCUCAAAUGGUCCGUAGUAAUCCAGCCAUUUCUACAAAUGGACAAAAAGGCUGAACAACACCUACAGCAGCUGAAGAACAAAGAUACAAGAUGACACCAUAAUG
Molecule: long non-coding RNA, 242 nt
Organism: Cynara cardunculus var. scolymus (artichoke)
Lineage: Eukaryota; Viridiplantae; Streptophyta; Magnoliopsida; Asterales; Asteraceae
Exons: 3
Source: RefSeq, a predicted model, not a curated record